GUGCUUACUUGGGCAGCACAGAUACUAAAAUUGGAACAAUACAGAGAUUAGUAUGGCCCCUGUGCAAAGACAUGCAAAUUUGUGAAGCAUUUCAUAUUUUU
This 101-nucleotide small nuclear RNA is filed under the name Vombatus ursinus (common wombat). The record is from RNAcentral. Lineage: Eukaryota; Metazoa; Chordata; Mammalia; Diprotodontia; Vombatidae.